This 253-nucleotide ribosomal RNA is filed under the name uncultured bacterium. Its description in RNAcentral is "partial 16S ribosomal RNA". It matches the Rfam family "Bacterial small subunit ribosomal RNA", at positions 524 to 776 of the family's 1533-position model. The record is from RNAcentral.
UACAGAGAGUGCAAACGUUGUUCGGAAUCACUGGGCUUAAAGCGCACGUAGGCGGCACUGUAAGUGUCGGGUGAAAUCCCACGGCUCACCCGUGGAAUUGCCCGGCAGACUGCGGUGCUCGAGUGUGGUAGGGGAGAGCGGAACCCCUGGUGGAGCGGUGAAAUGCGUAGAUAUCAGGAGGAGCACCGGUGGCGAAGGCGGCUCUCUGGUCCACAACUGACGCUGAGGUGCGAAAGCUAGGGGAGCAAACGGG